GCACAACUCGCACCGGGAGCGCGGCGCGUCCACGUCCGUAAAACACCCAACUUCUGAAAUGGGACCCUCGGAUCACGUAGGAAUACCCGCUGAAAUUAAGCUUCAAAUANNGGGGNAANNUNCC
RNAcentral lists this ribosomal RNA (124 nucleotides) under Hypocreaceae sp. MCJA3. Its description in RNAcentral is "partial 28S ribosomal RNA". Lineage: Eukaryota; Fungi; Ascomycota; Sordariomycetes; Hypocreales; Hypocreaceae. The record is from RNAcentral.